RNAcentral lists this signal recognition particle RNA (299 nucleotides) under Aotus nancymaae (Ma's night monkey). Its description in RNAcentral is "Metazoan signal recognition particle RNA (ENSANAG00000001991.1)". It matches the Rfam family "Metazoan signal recognition particle RNA". Rfam says of the family: The signal recognition particle (SRP) is a universally conserved ribonucleoprotein. It is involved in the co-translational targeting of proteins to membranes. Lineage: Eukaryota; Metazoa; Chordata; Mammalia; Primates; Aotidae. The record is from RNAcentral.
GCCAGGCACAGUGGCACAUGCCUGUAGUCCCAGCUAUUCGGGAGGCUGAGGCUGGAGGAUCUCUUGAGUCCAGCAGUUCUGGGCUGUAGUGCGCUAUGCCGAUCAGGUGUCUGCACUAAGUUUGGCAUCAAUAUGGUAACCUCCCAGGAGCGGGGGACCACCAGGUUGCCUAAGGAGUGGUGAACCAGCCCAGGUUGGAAACGGAGCAGGCCAAAACUCCCAUGCUGAUCAGUAGUGGGAUUGUGCCUGUGAAUAGCCACUGCACUCCAGCCUGGGCAACAUAGCAAGACCCCGUCUCU